Molecule: ribosomal RNA, 612 nt
Filed under: Triticum aestivum (bread wheat)
Lineage: Eukaryota; Viridiplantae; Streptophyta; Magnoliopsida; Poales; Poaceae
Description: partial small subunit ribosomal RNA
Source: RNAcentral
AUGGCCGUCACUCUCUUGUCCAUAUGGUAUGCUAGACGCAAAGCGGUCUAUGAAUCCAUCUUUCAAAGUCCCCAACAGACAAUUUCCUUUGUAAACUACUUUAUAGCAGAACUGGGGCAGCUUGCUAAUAGCCCAGAGAGACAAAGUGCAGCAGCAAUACCAUCUGCACAGCCUGAACGGUGGUUACCACCUCCUAAUGGCGCUGUGAAAGUAAACGUUGAUGGUGCUGUAGCAAGAUCCCGUCGUGGGGGAGGAGCGGUAGCAGCUGUUUGCAGAGACCAAUUUGGUAUGUAUCUAGGCUCCUCGGCGGUGGUCUUCCAAGGAAUAAAUGAUCCUCUAAUUUUGGAGACUUAUGCAUGCCGUGAAGCGUUAGCACUUGCUGAUGAUCUCGCCGUCCAAACUAUUUGUGUGGCCUCAGACUGUCAAGAUGAAAUAUUGACUCGUUGUGAGAGUUUUUCUUCUUUUUCUUUUAUACAUGAGCGUAGGAACUUCAAUUAUGAGGCUCAUAAUCUCGCCAAGUUUGCUUGUAAUCUAGGUGUAGGUCGACAUGUUUGGUUGGGCGUCCCACAUGACCCAAACAGUGUACCUAUGACCGUUGUUUCGAAUGAAUAA